AAGUGCAGUAUGGUCUUACUCAUCCACUUUCCACGAUGACAAUAAAUGCCUUAAAAACAUGGACUGCCUCUUUCCAUCAGGAUUUGCUGUGGGGAGCCACGGCAAAGGCCUUUGCCUGUAGAGCCACAAGCCAAGGUCUCCCCCUGUAUCCCCUCCAUGUAGGACCAGCCUGCAGGUCCCCAACUCCAGUGGCACCUGGGUGUCCAAGAGCCUCAGAACCAGCCAGUCCGGCCACGUCACAGGCCUGGGGACUCCCAAACCAGCUCUGGCCAUUCCUCACCUCAGACUAUGCUUCCUCAUCCCUGGAGCGGUGUCCAGGGGCUGCCCUGUGGCCCAACAUUCUCCCAGGGACCACAUGGGACUGGAGAAAACACAGCUAGACUUACUCGCUGCCUUGCACAGUGUUCCCGCCACAGAAGAGAUCUCACAGUCUCCUUUUCUCCAUUCGCCUGUCUUGGUGUACAGAAAACCACAGGUGUCGACUAGGUCCUCACCAUCUUGAUCUGCCCACUUGUCAAAUGUCAUAUUUGAAUGAUCAAACCACUUGAAAGUUGCAUCUGUCAAUUAAGGAACAUGAUGAUAGUUUUCAAAAGGAAGACCCAAAAGGAAGAUAUUUUCAUUAAAGAAUACCUUCUGGCCCAGCAUAAAGGUAAACCACCAUUCUGGUUUGCAGUGUUUAAUGUCGGGAAAAGCAGUGACUUACCUUUUGGAAUCUGGCACACCCAUUCAAGCUUUGCAUCACAAGCAAAAGGCUUCAAAUGAGCAUAUUCCCUCUCAUCAUAGAGAUGCCAGAGUCUUUGCCAAGCUAUCAGAGCCCGGAGCCAAUGGUAUCAGAGCUUAUUGAACUGUCUAUCUUUUGCAAUGCUGGAGUCUCGUGAAGAACCCUAUCACAGAUACCUUCUACUGUCUUGAACCUCCUAGACACAUCACUUAUAAAAUGGAUAAACAAAUGGAUUCUGUA
This is a long non-coding RNA of Mastomys coucha (southern multimammate mouse), 961 nucleotides long. RefSeq lists it as uncharacterized. NCBI's taxonomy places the organism in Eukaryota, Metazoa, Chordata, Mammalia, Rodentia, Muridae. The record is from RefSeq and is a predicted model, not a curated record. The transcript has 4 exons.